RNAcentral lists this ribosomal RNA (497 nucleotides) under uncultured bacterium. RNAcentral describes it as "partial 16S ribosomal RNA". It matches the Rfam family "Bacterial small subunit ribosomal RNA", at positions 28 to 507 of the family's 1533-position model. The record is from RNAcentral.
GAUGAACGCUGGCGGCGUGCCUAAUACAUGCCAGUCGAGCGAACAGACGAGGAGCUUGCUCCUCUGACGUUAGCGGCGGACGGGUGAGUAACACGUGGAUAACCUACCUAUAAGACUGGGAUAACUUCGGGAAACCGGAUCUAAUACCGGAUAAUAUAUUGAACCGCAUGGUUCAAUAGUGAAAGACGGUUUUGCUGUCACUUAUAGCUGGAUCCGCGCCGCAUUAGCUAGUUGGUAAGGUAACGGCUUACCAAGGCAACGAUGCGUAGCCGACCUGAGAGGGUGAUCGGCCACACUGGAACUGAGACACGGUCCAGACUCCUACGGGAGGCAGCAGUAGGGAAUCUUCCGCAAUGGGCGAAAGCCUGACGGAGCAACGCCGCGUGAGUGAUGAAGGUCUUCGGAUCGUAAAACUCUGUUAUUAGGGAAGAACAAAUGUGUAAGUAACUAUGCACGUCUUGACGGUACCUAAUCAGAAAGCCACGGCUAACUACGUG